This 124-nucleotide non-coding RNA is filed under the name Paenibacillus sp. RNAcentral describes it as "Glycine sequence". It matches the Rfam family "Glycine riboswitch aptamer". From Rfam's summary of the family: This family represents the bacterial glycine riboswitch. Glycine riboswitches usually consist of two metabolite-binding aptamers domains with similar structures in tandem. The aptamers cooperatively bind glycine to regulate the expression of downstream genes. The record is from RNAcentral. Lineage: Bacteria; Bacillati; Bacillota; Bacilli; Caryophanales; Paenibacillaceae.
UGAUAGCGAGCGGGAGAGUCCUGGGCAUGCCGAGUAAAAAGGCAGCUGUCGGGCACCGAAGGAGCAAGCUGCUACGCACCCGGCGCAGUGGUUAAUCUCUCAGGUAAAUGUACCAUCGUUGGAC